This 74-nucleotide transfer RNA is filed under the name Caudoviricetes sp. RNAcentral's name for it is "tRNA-Leu". It matches the Rfam family "tRNA". Rfam says of the family: Transfer RNA (tRNA) molecules are approximately 80 nucleotides in length. The record is from RNAcentral. Lineage: Duplodnaviria; Heunggongvirae; Uroviricota; Caudoviricetes.
GCCUAUGUGAUGGAAUAGGAAUACAUGUUGGUCUUAGAAGCCAAAUUUUGCAGGUUCAAGUCCUGCCAUAGGCA